AGAGUUUGAUCCUGGCUCAGGACGAACGCUGGCGGCGUGGAUUAGGCAUGCAAGUCGCGCGACGGUACUCCUUUGGGAGUAUACGGAGCGGCGAACGGGUGAGUAACACGUGAGGAACCUGUCCCUACUUUCCGGAUAAUUGGGAGAAAUCCCUUGUAAUACGGGCGAGGGUCUUUGAUGGGCAUCCAUUAAAGAAGGAAGGCGCAAGCCGAGCAGGGAGGGCCUCGCGGCCUAUCAGUUAGUUGGUGGGGUAACGGCCUACCAAGACGACGACGGGUAGCUGGUCUGAGAGGAUGGUCAGCCACAUUGGAACUGAGACACUGUCCAGACUCCUACGGGAGGCUGCAGUCGAGAAUCUUGGGCAAUGCACGAAAGUGUGACCCAGCGACGCCGCGUGGAGGAUGAAGGCGCUCUGCGUUGUAAACUCCUUUUAGGGGAGAAGAAUGAGGCUUAUGCCUUUUGACGGUAUCCCCUGAAUAAGCCACGGCUAACUACGUGCCAGCAGCCGCGGUAAUACGUAGGUGGCAAGCGUUGUCCGGAUUUACUGGGCGUAAAGCGUAUGCAGGCGGACUUUUUAAGUAGGAAGUGAAAGGUUGGAGCUCAACUCUAACACUGCUCCCUAUACUGGAAGUCUUGAGUGCCGGAGAGGAAGACGGAACUGCACGUGUAGCGGUGAAAUGCGUUGAGAUGUGCAGGAACACCAAUGGCGAAAGCAGUCUUCUGGACGGAUACUGACGCUGAGAUACGAAAGCCAAGGGAGCGAACAGGAUUAGAUACCCUAGUAGUCC
Molecule: ribosomal RNA, 788 nt
Filed under: uncultured bacterium
Lineage: Bacteria
Description: bacterial SSU rRNA
Rfam family: Bacterial small subunit ribosomal RNA
Source: RNAcentral